ACAAGCUUGAAUGUGUGUUCUGGAGCUGAAGGAUGCACGGUUGUUAAGCCCCUGUUCUUUUCCGUUGUUUAAUCUAAUGUUCUUUGGAAUAAAAACCUCCCUGCCAAGUAGUACUUGGUUUUAUGCUCAACAUGCUUUGACUGUUGAAAAGAGACCUUUGGCACACAUUGAAGGGAUGGUGAUGGAGAUGCCAAUCCAUGGAAUCAGGUGGCACAGCUAUGUUGGUAGCUAUAGCAGAAGUCUUCUUGGCAAAGAUUCCUCCAGGGAAGGAAGGUACCAUUGGAGAACCAUGCAUGAAGACAGGGAAGAAAUGAUUGGAAUCAUGAAACAUUAAACUGGAAGGAAGCCCUAGGCAAACCUAACUCAUGGGAAAACAGACACCCACAUGUUACCCAGUUUAGUACCAAAACCAAGGCUGGUAUUUGCAUAAAUAUACUUUUCUUCUCUAUCUAAUAUCAAGGCCUUCUUAGUAUUGUUAAUAGGCCUUAAGCUUGGUUUGUCUACAUAGAAAUCAAAAUAACAAUGUCAACCCAUGAAAGAAUUAAAAGAAGUCCCAAACAGUUCUGAUUUCCUCCAAUGUGACUAUUUCUGAUAUAUUAUAAAAUAACAGAAAUCAAACUCAAAGAAUGAACUUUUUGUCUCUAUUUUGCUAAUAAUGGUUAAAGUAAAUGGAUGGUCUUUCUAGUCUUUCCCAAAGGCCCCUAGAUUAAUUGUUAGUGACAUUGCUAGGAAACUCC
Molecule: long non-coding RNA, 737 nt
Filed under: Homo sapiens (human)
Lineage: Eukaryota; Metazoa; Chordata; Mammalia; Primates; Hominidae
Description: HSALNT0399590
Source: RNAcentral